This 74-nucleotide transfer RNA is filed under the name Moraxella catarrhalis. RNAcentral describes it as "tRNA-Val". It matches the Rfam family "tRNA". From Rfam's summary of the family: Transfer RNA (tRNA) molecules are approximately 80 nucleotides in length. Their secondary structure includes four short double-helical elements and three loops (D, anti-codon, and T loops). Lineage: Bacteria; Pseudomonadati; Pseudomonadota; Gammaproteobacteria; Moraxellales; Moraxellaceae. The record is from RNAcentral.
AGGCGUAUAGCUCAGUUGGUUAGAGCACCACCUUGACAUGGUGGGGGUCGAUGGUUCGAGUCCAUUUACGCCUA